GACCACGUAGCUCAGUUGGCAGAGCAUUGGGCUAGUAUUCCAAAGGUCGUAGGUUCGAUUCCCACCGUGGCCU
Paramuricea clavata is the source of this 73-nucleotide non-coding RNA. NCBI's taxonomy places the organism in Eukaryota, Metazoa, Cnidaria, Anthozoa, Malacalcyonacea, Plexauridae. The record is from the annotation of a GenBank genome assembly.